This is a small nuclear RNA of Callithrix jacchus (white-tufted-ear marmoset), 107 nucleotides long. The record is from Ensembl. Lineage: Eukaryota; Metazoa; Chordata; Mammalia; Primates; Cebidae.
GUGCUCGCUUCGGCAUCACCUACCCUAAAACUGGAGCGAUACAGAGAAGAUGAGCGUGGCCCCUGCACAAGGAUGACAUGGAAAUCCGUGAAGCGUUCCAUGUUUAA